This 451-nucleotide ribosomal RNA is filed under the name uncultured bacterium. RNAcentral describes it as "partial 16S ribosomal RNA". It matches the Rfam family "Bacterial small subunit ribosomal RNA", at positions 354 to 796 of the family's 1533-position model. The record is from RNAcentral.
GUGGGGAAUAUUGGACAAUGGGCGAAAGCCUGAUCCAGCCAUGCCGCGUGUGUGAAGAAGGCCUUUUGGUUGUAAAGCACUUUAAGCGAGGAGGAGGCUACCGAGAUUAAUACUCUUGGAUAGUGGACGUUACUCGCAGAAUAAGCACCGGCUAACUCUGUGCCAGCAGCCGCGGUAAUACAGAGGGUGCAAGCGUUAAUCGGAUUUACUGGGCGUAAAGCGCGCGCAAGUGGCCAAUUAAGUCAAAUGUGAAAUCCCCGAGCUUAACUUGGGAAUUGCAGUCGAUACUGGUUGGCUAGAGUAUGGGAGAGGAUGGUAGAAUUCCAGGUGUAGCGGUGAAAUGCGUAGAGAUCUGGAGGAAUACCGAUGGCGAAGGCAGCCAUCUGGCCUAAUACUGACACUGAGGUGCGAAAGCAUGGGGAGCAAACAGGAUUAGAUACCCUUGUAGUCC